GGGCCUGCCCAGUGAUAUUUCAACGGCCGCGGUACUCUGACCGUGCAAAGGUAGCAUAAUCAUUUGCCCUAUAAUUAAGGGCUAGUAUGAACGGUCUAACAAGAAUGGAACUGUCUCUUUUAAAAUCCUUAGAAUUUGGUCUUUAGGUGAAGAAACCUAAAUUAUAUUGAUAGACAAGAAGACCCUAUCGAGCUUUAAAACAAUUAGUUAAACAAAUAGAUAACACUAACUUUAGCUAAAAAUUUUGGUUGGGGCGACUAAGGAACAAACAAAGCUUCCUUAAUAAAUUCUACACUAAUAAGUAAUGAUCCAAAAUAUUUGAUUAAUAAAAUUAGUUACCGUAGGGAUAACAGCAUAAUCUUCUUCAAGAGUUCUUAUCGAAAAGAAUGUUUGUGACCUCGAUGUUGGACUAGGAUAUCCAAAAGAUGCAGAAGUCUUUAAAGGUUGGUCUGUUCGACCAAUAAAAUCCUACGUGAUCUAUCU
RNAcentral lists this ribosomal RNA (483 nucleotides) under Bithynia siamensis siamensis. RNAcentral describes it as "partial large subunit ribosomal RNA". It matches the Rfam family "Bacterial large subunit ribosomal RNA", at positions 1854 to 2610 of the family's 2925-position model. The record is from RNAcentral. Lineage: Eukaryota; Metazoa; Mollusca; Gastropoda; Littorinimorpha; Bithyniidae.